Molecule: ribosomal RNA, 110 nt
Filed under: Danio rerio (zebrafish)
Lineage: Eukaryota; Metazoa; Chordata; Actinopteri; Cypriniformes; Danionidae
Source: RNAcentral
AGCCACAUUCAUAUCAUCCUGCAGCCCAAGACCAGUUAGUUAAGCUAAUUAUGGCUGAGCCUGGUCAGUACCUGGAUGGGAGACCACAUGGGAAAACUAGGUUGCUGUUU